RNAcentral lists this ribosomal RNA (459 nucleotides) under uncultured bacterium. Its description in RNAcentral is "partial 16S ribosomal RNA". It matches the Rfam family "Bacterial small subunit ribosomal RNA", at positions 338 to 795 of the family's 1533-position model. The record is from RNAcentral.
CCUACGGGGAGCAGCAGUGAGGAAUAUUGGUCAAUGGGCGGAAGCCUUAACCAGCCAAGUAGCGUGCGGGAUGCAGGCGCUACGGGUCGGAAACCGCUUUUGCACGGGGAUAACACCCUCCCCUUGUGGAGGUCUGCCGGUACCGUGCGACUAAGGGCCGGCUAAUUCCGUGCCAGCAGCCUCGGUACUACGGAAGGCCCGAGCGUUAUCCGGAUUCAUUGGGCUUAAGGGGAGCGUAGGCGGGCGUUCAAGUCAGCUGUAAAAUCGCGCGGCCCAACCGCGCACCGCAGUUGAAACUGGACGCCUUGAGUUCACAACAGGCAGGCGGAAUUCGUGGUGUAGCGGUGAAAUGCAUAGAUAUCACGAGGAACCCCGAUUGCGAAGGCAGCCUGCCGGGGUGCGACUGACGCUGAGGCUCGAAGGUGCGGGUAUCAAACAGGAUUAGAUACCCGAGUAGUC